UAAUAUCAGCAGGUAAAUCGGAG
This 23-nucleotide microRNA is filed under the name Eisenia fetida (common brandling worm). RNAcentral describes it as "Efe-Mir-216-P1b_5p (mature (guide))". Lineage: Eukaryota; Metazoa; Annelida; Clitellata; Crassiclitellata; Lumbricidae. The record is from RNAcentral.